Molecule: ribosomal RNA, 451 nt
Filed under: uncultured bacterium
Lineage: Bacteria
Description: SSU rRNA
Rfam family: Bacterial small subunit ribosomal RNA
Source: RNAcentral
AGAGCGAACGCUGGCGGCAGGCUUAACACAUGCAAGUCGAGCGGGCACUUCGGUGUCAGCGGCAGACGGGUGAGUAACGCGUGGGAACAUACCUUUUGGUUCGGAACAACACAGGGAAACUUGUGCUAAUACCGGAUAAGCCCUUACGGGGAAAGAUUUAUCGCCGAAAGAUUGGCCCGCGUCUGAUUAGCUUGUUGGUGAGGUAACGGCUCACCAAGGCGACGAUCAGUAGCUGGUCUGAGAGGAUGAUCAGCCACAUUGGGACUGAGACACGGCCCAAACUCCUACGGGAGGCAGCAGUGGGAAUAUUGGACAAUGGGGGCAACCCUGAUCCAGCCAUGCCGCGUGAGUGAUGGAAGGCCCUAGGGUUGUAAAAGCUCGUUUUAACGGGGAAGAUAAGUGAACGGUACCCGUAGAAUAAAGCCCCGGACUACUUCGCGCCAGCAGCCGC